CGCGUUUCAAAACGUUGCGGAAGCGGAGCGUCGUGUGUGCAGCCUCGCAGUUGUUGUUGAUUUUGGAAUAUUUCCUGGACAUUUGUACUUCUACAAUGCCUGUAAACCGGAGGAGAACGCUGGCAUGUAUUCUCCUACUUGAAAGACUACGGGGGGAUGGGGGGAGGAGAAGGAGCCGGUUAUGGGUGCACCCCCUCAACCAGCAAAGGAGACAACAAGGUGAUUUUCAUCACCUCGUGGCUGAGCUGAGGCUGGACAGCCAACGACAUCACCAAUAUUUUCGGAUGAGUGCAGAGCAGAUGGAUGAACUUCUGUCCCUCCUGGGCCCUGAACUGACCAGACAAUCCACACAUUUCAGAGCUGCCAUAGAACCCAAGCAGAGACUGGCUGUUGCACUGAGUAAUACAAUUUAUAAUAAAUAGUUUUGUCUGACAAA
Molecule: long non-coding RNA, 436 nt
Organism: Gymnodraco acuticeps
Lineage: Eukaryota; Metazoa; Chordata; Actinopteri; Perciformes; Bathydraconidae
Exons: 2
Source: RefSeq, a predicted model, not a curated record